RNAcentral lists this ribosomal RNA (503 nucleotides) under Thelenota anax. RNAcentral describes it as "partial 16S ribosomal RNA". It matches the Rfam family "Bacterial large subunit ribosomal RNA", at positions 1858 to 2605 of the family's 2925-position model. Lineage: Eukaryota; Metazoa; Echinodermata; Holothuroidea; Aspidochirotida; Stichopodidae. The record is from RNAcentral.
CCUGCCCAGUGGAGAACCAUUUCUAAACGGCCGCGGUAUCUUGACCGUGCAAAGGUAGCAUAAUCACUUGUCUCUUAAAUGGGGACCUGUAUGAACGGCUUCACAUUCUUAAACUGUCUCCCUUUCUCACCUCAUAAACUUCUAUACACGUGAAGAAGCGUGUAAAAUUUAGAAAGACGAGAAGACCCUGUCGAGCUUUAGUCAACCUCAAAACAACUUAAACUCUUUAAGAAAAGUAGAUUUUUAGAGCUAGACUUUGGUUGGGGCAACCAUGGAGAAAAACAAUCCUCCAGUUCACUAGGCAGAAACCUCUUCACCUAAAAAUUUUUUAGAACCAGUCAUUCUGGAAAACGGAAAAAGUUACCGCAGGGAUAACAGCGUUAUCUCCUCUAAGAGCUCAUAUUGACGAGGAGGUUUGCGACCUCGAUGUUGGAUUGGGGUAACCUAAGGGUGCAGCAGCUCUUAAGGGUCGGACUGUUCGUCCGUUAAUUCCCUACGUGAUC